This 380-nucleotide ribosomal RNA is filed under the name uncultured bacterium. Its description in RNAcentral is "bacterial SSU rRNA". It matches the Rfam family "Bacterial small subunit ribosomal RNA", at positions 28 to 409 of the family's 1533-position model. The record is from RNAcentral.
GACGAACGCUGGCGGCGUGCUUAACACAUGCAAGUCGAGCGGUAAGGCCCUUUCGGGGGUACACGAGCGGCGAACGGGUGAGUAACACGUGGGUGACCUGCCUUUAGCUCUGGGAUAAGCCUGGGAAACUGGGUCUAAUACCGGAUAUGACUCCGCGGUGCAUGCUGUGGGGUGGAAAGCCUUGUGCGGCUGGAGAUGGGCCCGCGGCCUAUCAGCUUGUUGGUGGGGUGAUGGCCUACCAAGGCGACGACGGGUAGCCGGCCUGAGAGGGCGACCGGCCACACUGGGACUGAGACACGGCCCAGACUCCUACGGGAGGCAGCAGUGGGGAAUCUUGCGCAAUGGGCGAAAGCCUGACGCAGCGACGCCGCGUGAGGGAU